GGCCCGUAUUUGAUCCAAGCAAUUAUUCAGCAUCUCCAGGAAUACAGCACCUUUUUUCGAGUAGUCCAAGGAAGCAGCCUGGCACAGUUCAAUUCUGGCAGAAUGAUGAGGCACAUAACCAUCCUGGGGUGAAGAUAGCAGUAUUGUAUGUCUGAAGCUCUCUAAUGUCUUGUGCUCACAAAGUCUGUACAAGAAAGUUUUGCGAAGAUCUGGGUCAUCAGUGAAAGUAAGCUGAUGAAUGCAUUGUGAUCCCUUGAGCUUUUUCAAAAGCCACAUUCCAGAGUUAAAUAAAGAGUUCGCACUGUAAAGGUACCCCAUGUGUGGACCAGAUAUAGAUACAUACGUGUAGAGGCAUCUUAGGUAUGGUUCCAUGAUGGUCUCUGCUAAUGCUGUUCUUAUAAUGAUAUUUCCAAUAGAAUGCCCGACAAAGCUAAGCUUGAUACCUCCCAAAUUGCAGGACUUAGAAAAUUUAUCCAUUUUCUUUUUAAGAAAAGAGACCACUUCCUGAGCCAGCCUUAGUCCCAUUUCUCUGAAGUCUCCAGAUGUUUUGUCCUCAUUUACCUCAGACAUGAGAAACUCUAUCUUGGGGUCUAUUAAAAGCCAUUGAUUUCGAACAAGCCGUAAAUCCAGAUGAUGCCCCUGAAAUCCAUGCACAAAGACAACAACCUUCAACUCACGACCAUUCUGCUUCAGGUUGGAACUAGAUAGGAUUCUUCCAGCUUCAACGCUGGGUGUAGAAAGCAAGACAGGUGAAUCUAUCAGGUCUACAUUUCUAAAGUAAGAAUUUUCACUUAGAGCACGCCGGGGUGCAUUCAUGACACGUUCCACAAUUAUGAUAGGAAUUCGAAGAGGAUCUCCAAAAAUAUGCAUGUCUUGAAUUGACUGAUUAUUGAUCUUCAUUUGUGCAAUACUUCGCCGAUGAAGCUCAGCACGUGUGGCCAAAGUUUGGGCAGGAUCAUCAGGUAACUUCCACAAGCUCGAAACUCUUUUUGGGACAGUCGGGUGGGAAAAUUCAUCAUUUCGACUGCUUAUGUAAUGAUGAGGCAUCUCAACCUUUGAGCAAACCAUCCAUAUUGACCAUUCAGCUCUUCGAUCCUUAGCCCAUGUCAUACUCAGAAACCCUAAUAUUUUUGUUUUGUUUAUCCUGUGAAACUGCAGAAAAGUGUUCCAUAAGUACGAUAAUUGAGCACCGAGGGAAUGGAAAAUGUUAACAAC
RNAcentral lists this unclassified non-coding RNA (1215 nucleotides) under Hevea brasiliensis (rubber tree). Lineage: Eukaryota; Viridiplantae; Streptophyta; Magnoliopsida; Malpighiales; Euphorbiaceae. The record is from RNAcentral.